This 235-nucleotide long non-coding RNA is filed under the name Manihot esculenta (cassava). RNAcentral describes it as "long non-coding RNA (MESC_LNC005969)". The record is from RNAcentral. Lineage: Eukaryota; Viridiplantae; Streptophyta; Magnoliopsida; Malpighiales; Euphorbiaceae.
UGCAGAUUUAAUCUUAUAUUUAGAGCCACUUAUAAAAUUAAAUUAAUUCUUAGAAUGAGUGGUUUAUUGAAUAUAUAAUUAGAUGUAUAUACAAAAUUAAAAGAAAUAAAAAUGAAGGGAGAGAGAGACCUGGAGGGAAGAGUUGCGAGCAUAACUUUGAAAGCCAUCUCCUCCAUUAACGUGAAGGAUGUACUCCAACUGCUUAGUUUGGUUGUUCUCCAUGCCUUCUAAUGCC